AUACGUAGGGGGCGAGCGUUGUCCGGAAUGAUUGGGCGUAAAGGGCGCGUAGGCGGCCCGGUAAGUCUGGAGUGAAAGUCCUGUUUUUAAGAUGGGAAUUGCUUUGGAUACUGUCGGGCUUGAGUGCAGGAGAGGUAAGUGGAAUUCCCAGUGUAGCGGUGAAAUGCGUAGAGAUUGGGAGGAACACCAGUGGCGAAGGCGACUUACUGGACUGUAACUGACGCUGAGGCGCGAAAGUGUGGGGAGCAAACAGGAUUAGAUACCCUGGUAGUCCACACUGUAAACGAUGAAUGCUAGGUGUAGGGGGUAUCGACCCCUUCUGUGCCGCAGUCAACACAAUAAGCAUUCCGCCUAGGGAGUACGGCCGCAAGGUUGAAACUCAAAUGAAUUGACGGGG
RNAcentral lists this ribosomal RNA (397 nucleotides) under uncultured bacterium. RNAcentral's name for it is "partial 16S ribosomal RNA". It matches the Rfam family "Bacterial small subunit ribosomal RNA", at positions 523 to 918 of the family's 1533-position model. The record is from RNAcentral.